RNAcentral lists this ribosomal RNA (441 nucleotides) under uncultured bacterium. RNAcentral describes it as "partial 16S ribosomal RNA". It matches the Rfam family "Bacterial small subunit ribosomal RNA", at positions 28 to 507 of the family's 1533-position model. The record is from RNAcentral.
GAUGAACGCUGGCGGCGUGCCUAAUACAUGCAAGUCGAACGGGGAGUAGCAAUACUCUUAGUGGCGAACGGGUGAGUAACGCGUUGGUACCUGCCCCGAAGCGGGGGAUAACGGACCGAAAGGUCCGCUAAUACCCCAUGUGCUCGGUAACGAGUAAAGGUGAAAACCACUUUGGGAGGGGCCUGCGUCCCAUCAGCUAGUUGGUAAGGUAACGGCUUACCAAGGCGAUGACGGGUAGGGGACCUGAGAGGGUGGCCCCCCACAAUGGAACUGAAACACGGUCCAUACACCUACGGGAGGCAGCAGUAGGGAAUAUUGGUAAUGGGCGCAAGCCUGAACCAGCAACGCCGCGUGUGCGAUGACGGCCUUCGGGUUGUAAAGCACUUUUGACUGGGACGAGGAAGGACGGUACCGGUCGAAUCAGCCUCGGCUAACUACGUG